GUACCAUCCUAGGUCAAAGCACCACAUCCACAAUCCAAGAAUCAGACUCCACCCCCUCAAAAUCCUUAGGAGGUGGCUCCCGAGUAAUUCAACCUACUCAUACAGUAGGUGCGGACUCUGAUUGUAGCCAUCCAAGCAAUUCAGUACACGAUCGUAGCCCCUCAACCGAUCUUACAGCAAGCACCUCGAUAGUAAUAGCAACCUCAGCCACUUCCCUGAAGUCCUAAUCAAGCACAACAAAAUAGACAUAACCCACUAAGUAGUCCAGAAUGGGGGCAUCGAAGGCCCUUCUUGACCCCUCAAUUAGAAAAAGACUCCACCCUGAGGAGAUCGCCACCUCGACAUUUCGAGCACUAUACUGUUCAGGAUGCUGAUGUGGAUCACAAACUUUAGGAGAUACAUCGACAAAUUGAAUCAUUGUGGGGUUGGGCCUUGGCGUA
This 440-nucleotide long non-coding RNA is filed under the name Elaeis guineensis (African oil palm). RNAcentral's name for it is "long non-coding RNA (EGUI_LNC037994)". Lineage: Eukaryota; Viridiplantae; Streptophyta; Magnoliopsida; Arecales; Arecaceae. The record is from RNAcentral.